AGUGAACGCUGGCGGUAGACCUAACACAUGCAAGUCGAACGGCAGCACAUUAAGAGCUUGCUCUUACGGGUGGCGAGUGGCGGACGGGUGAGGAAUACAUCGAAAUCUACUUUUUCGUGGGGGAUAACGUAGGGAAACUUACGCUAAUACCGCAUACGACCUACGGGUGAAAGCAGGGGAUCUUCGGACCUUGCGCGAUUGAAUGAGCCGAUGUCGGAUUAGCUAGUUGGCGGGGUAAAGGCCCACCAAGGCGACGAUCCGUAGCUGGUCUGAGAGGAUGAUCAGCCACACUGGAACUGAGACACGGUCCAGACUCCUACGGGAGGCAGCAGUGGGGAAUAUUGGACAAUGGGCGCAAGCCUGAUCCAGCCAUACCGCGUGGGUGAAGAAGGCCUUCGGGUUGUAAAGCCCUUUUGUUGGGAAAGAAAGGCAGCAGGUUAAUACCCCGCUGUUCUGACGGUACCCAAAGAAUAAGCACCGGCUAACUUCGUG
RNAcentral lists this ribosomal RNA (492 nucleotides) under uncultured bacterium. Its description in RNAcentral is "partial 16S ribosomal RNA". It matches the Rfam family "Bacterial small subunit ribosomal RNA", at positions 29 to 507 of the family's 1533-position model. The record is from RNAcentral.